AACGCGAAGAACCUUACCCGGUCUUGACAUGCAGUUGACCGCAUUAGAGAUAAUGCUUUCUCGCAAGAGACAAUUGCACAGGUGCUGCAUGGCUGUCGUCAGCUCGUGCCGUGAGGUGUUGGGUUAAGUCCCGCAACGAGCGCAACCCUUGUCGUUAGUUGCCAGCACGUAAUGGUGGGCACUCUAGCGAGACUGCCUGGGUUAACCAGGAGGAAGGUGAGGAUGACGUCAAGUCCGCAUGGCCUUUAUGACCGGGGCUACACACGUGCUACAAUGGCAGGUACAGAAGGCAGCAAUACCGUGAGGUGGAGCAAAUCCCGAAAGCCUGCCCCAGUUCAGAUUGGAGUCUGCAACUCGACUCCAUGAAGCCGGAAUUGCUAGUAAUGGCGAGUCAGCAACAUCGCCGUGAAUACGUUCCCGGGCCUUGUACACACCGCUACAGU
This 443-nucleotide ribosomal RNA is filed under the name uncultured bacterium. RNAcentral describes it as "bacterial SSU rRNA". It matches the Rfam family "Bacterial small subunit ribosomal RNA", at positions 958 to 1401 of the family's 1533-position model. The record is from RNAcentral.